This is a long non-coding RNA of Pelodiscus sinensis (Chinese soft-shelled turtle), 984 nucleotides long. RefSeq lists it as uncharacterized. NCBI's taxonomy places the organism in Eukaryota, Metazoa, Chordata, Testudines, Trionychidae. The record is from RefSeq and is a predicted model, not a curated record.
CUAGAACCUGCUAGAACCCGUUGAGACAGUUAGGCUUGACUGGGACACCUGGAGCCAAUCAAGAACCAGCUGGAACUGGUUAAAAGCCUCUCCUUACUAAAGUUUAAUGGCAUUUUAAUGUGCCCUUUUGAUUCCAGAUGAUUUCAGGUGACACAAGGAAGGGAUACUGUUGAUUUCUGAAGGAUCCGGACGAUAGGAGAGAGCAAAGAGGAAGCACAGCUUCAGAGGAGGAAGCAGUAGACACUGCAGAAAUAAGGUCAUCAAGUUAGGAGGCAUAUCAAGAGGGCUUACAGGUGCUGGAGGUGGGCCAGAAGCCCCUGCCAACAUAAGACCAACUACCAUCUGUACAGGAUAUUUGCAAUAUAUCUAGAUAGCUUAUAUACUUCGUCUGCUGUUCUUGGACUCAAGGCCUGUGAAGACUUGUAUACAUGCCUAACUUUAUGCACUGUGAAUUGUCCCACUGAAAUCAGAGUUACAUACUAAAGAGUAGGCACAGAAAGGAAAUGAUUUUGUAUCAGGCCGAGAGUUCCUCAGCACAUUUGGGAAUCCUGACUGAAUAUCUAUGUAUUAGCAAAGAGUUAAUAAUUUAUCCUUUUGCAGUAAUGUCAAUCAUUCUAUGAUGCAUUAUCUAACACAAGAGAAAAAAAAGGUAUUUGGAGAUUUCCUUCAUUUUUUGUUGUCACAUUUCCAAGUUUUUAGCUAUGAGCAAGUACUAUACAAAAUUUACUGAAUUUAAAUUGCCCUCUCUGCACAUUAAACAAUGGCUUUCAUAUACAAAGUAUACUUUUAGCAAAGGAGAAUUGUAAAGGAUGCAUUAUAAUUUAACAUUGGAUGCAUGAAUGUAGCCUAUGUUUUUUAGAGAACAAAGACUGACUUUUUAUAGAUGUGUAUGUUUUAUUCAUCACUGAAUAACUGGGCUAUAAGUGUACAAUCUGUAACAUUAUUGAUUUGCAAUAUGUGCAACUGGUCACAUUCAGUUUGCUU